Non-coding RNA from Microcebus murinus (gray mouse lemur), 3307 nucleotides. NCBI's taxonomy places the organism in Eukaryota, Metazoa, Chordata, Mammalia, Primates, Cheirogaleidae. The record is from RefSeq and is a predicted model, not a curated record.
CUUACGUGACAAAAGGGACUUUGCAGUUGUGAUGAAGUCAAGGAUCCUGAGAUGGGAGAUGGUCCUGAUUCCCCGGGUGGCUCCAGUGUAAUCUCAAUCAUGGUGAGAGGGAGGAAGGAGGGCCAGAGUCAGAGAGGAAGGGUGGGGCGGAGGCGGAGGUUGGAGCGAUGCACAUAAGCCAAGAUGCGGGGGCAGCGGAGAGAGGGAGGGAGGCGUUCUCUUCUCUCCAGAAGGAGCACAGCUCUGCCGACUCCUUGAUAUGAAGACACAGGAUCUCAGCAAGUUUAUGUGAUUUGCCUGGAGUUUCAACAUAUAGAAGUAUGCAAGUCUGCAUUCAGCAUUCUGUCCCCUGCACGGGCCCAUUGUGAAGAUUAAUUCUCCAUGACAACUCGGCGGGUCCACGGAGCCCAGGUAUUUGGUCAAACGUUAUUUUGGAUGUUUCUGUGAAGGUGUUUUUUGGAUGAGAUUAAUAUUUAAACUGGUGGACUUUGAGUUAAGCAGAUUUCCCUUCACAGUGAGAGUGGGCCUCACCAAAACUGACCCCUGAGCAGGAAGGAACUCCUCCCGCAGACUGCUCCGGACUCGAGCUACAGUUCUUGCCGGGUCCCAGCCUGCCAGCUUCCCCUGCAGAUUUUGAAUUUACAAUCCACAAUCAAACGAACGAACUCCUUAACAUAAAUCUCUUUCUCUCUCUCUCUCUGCACACAUACACCCUGUUGUUCUGUUUCUCUGGAGAAUUCUGCCUAAACACACCAAUUAAUAAAUAUUUUUCAGAUGGCUUCAGAGUGGGAUUCAUAGCUGGCCUUUGUAAAUUUUCUUUUACACCCAAAAGCCCUGCAAGAAUUAUUUCACAGAAGGUCUAGGAGCUUAGAAUAGUUGAGCACUUUCCCCUGAAUCAGGAUUCCUGAAACAAUGAUAGGUUAGGAAGGACAGGAAGGCAUGGAUAGGAAGGCACUGCCCAUCUGGGGGUUCUCACGUGAAGAGGGGUUCUUGCUGUGCCCAGCUACUAGGGACCAGGGGCAGCUGAGGGGCAGCAGAGCCUGGGGUCUGGGACACUCAGACUAAUGAACCAGGCACCCUAGCCCACAAAACAACCGUGAAAAUAUCACUCGGAGUUUCCGACCAUGGUUUUUGAAUAACUGCUCAAACACUAGAGCUGUAGGCACCUGAGAGGCCACCCCAGGUCUCUGGUAUACCUUGUAGCAUUUCAUUAAUCAUUUCAAUGAAACUUUUAUGUGCCUUCUAUGAGGCAGGCACUAGGAAUACAGAGGUGAACCAGGCAGAAAAAGUCUCUUUCUCCAUGGAUUAUAUUUGCUAGUGGGGGUAGGAAUCAAGGAGAAAGGACAGAUAGUAAACAGAAAAUAAAAUAAAAUUUAAAAGACAUAAUCAAGGCUCCCAUGAAGAAUUAAAGUCUAAUCUCCUUCCCCUUGAAUCUGGGAAGGUUUGUGACUCACCUGUAACCAAUCGGAUAUGGCAGAGGAAGCUAAGUAUGAUUUCUAAGGCUGGUUCUAAAAGGUGAUGAUGCUUCUGUCUUGUGUAGUAAAAUAUUUGUCCCUAGUGUCAUGAGAACCAGCCACCAAUCCUUAUCCUCAGACCGCCAUGUUGUCAGGAAGCUCAAAUUUGCCUUCCUCAAAAGACCACAUGGAGAGGCCAUCAGAUUACAUGCACAGAGAGAGGGAUGCUGAGCCAGGCUCCAGCCCUUCACUAUUCCAGCUCUGGGUACCAUGACUGCAAUGCAUGAGAGAUGCUAAGCCAGACCACCCUGCAGAGCCCUUCCCAAGUUCCCGACCCACAGAAACUAUAAGAGAUAAUAUUGUUGUUUUAAGCUACUAGAUUUGGGGUUGAUCUAUUACACAGCAGUAGAUAACCAGGACAGAGAGAGGGCAGGAGGUAAGGGACUACUUCAUAAUAGGGAGCCAGGAAAGCCUCUAUUGGAAAAUGACAUACGAGCUGAGACCUCGACCACGAGAGGAGCAGCCACGUGGAGGGGAAGGGGAAGAGCCUUCCUGGCAGAGGGAAGUGCAGGAGUCCUGGCACAGCAACACUCUAGGACACUCACAGAGGAGCAAGAAGGCCAGUGUGUUGGGGCAAUAACAAAUGAGAGGGUGAGUGGAUGGAGAAACAUUGAGAGAGGUAGGAAGGUAGAUCAGAGAGAGCUUUUUAGGCUGGGUCACCAGAUGUCCCAGUUUGCCUGGGAUAGUCCUGGCUCAGGCCUGUGGUUCUAGCUAAUAUUAUGGCCACCCAGCAAAAGCCAUGGCCAACAGCCUGGUAUGCUUUUUCUUUAUUCUCCACUGUCCCCAGGCUGAUCCCUGUGCCCCCCACCUCUACCUGCACACUCCACCCCAAACCUAAGAGACAGUCCCUGCCCUCUUGUGCAUCCCUCUCCCAGCUUUGCUGUUUGCUUCCUUGAUUCUUAUCCACGUUGGAAACAGCCAAGUCUGUUCCUUCCGUGAUCCCAGACUGUGCCUCCAACUUAGUGGGAGAUGUGGAGAAACUGGCUGGAGAGGUCAUUUGGGGUCCAAGGUCCUGGGUGCAAGUUCUAGAUCCACUGUGUCUGGCCUACAUGACCUAAGGUGGCUUGUUUUCCUUCUUAGUCCUUGAGAUUCUCAUCUAUUACGUAGAAUUUUAAAAUGUUUAUUUCACAGGGUUAUUUCAAAAAGAGCAGGUGACUAUUUGCCAAGCAAGAGUUGGUUUCAAGUCUGAGGAAGCUUGACAAGGUGCUAUGGUUUUAACGUCCCAUCCAAAACUCAGCUGAAAUGUAAUUGCCAUGAUGGUAGCAAGAGGAGGGACUAUUAAAAGAUGAUUAGACUAUGAGGGCCCCACCCUCUGAAUGGCUUAAAGCUGUUAUGGCAGGAGCGAGUUCCUGACCCUCUUGCACCCCAUCAUUCAUUCUCGCCCUCCCCUGUCCUGCCAUGGGAGGACACAGCAAGAAAGAUCACAGCAGAUGCUUGAUAUUGGACUUCACAGCCUCCAAAACUGUAAGAAAUAAACUUCUUUCCUUCAUAAAUUACCCAGUGUGGUAGCUGUUACUGUAACACAAAAUGAACAAGAGGAAAGGGAUUUCAAAGAAGAAAUGCCUGACGUUUAGGAGGAGGGAUAAAAUCAUUGGAGGGCUCACUCUGGGGAUGUUUAAGGUGAAAACAGCUGGCUGCCUCCAGAACAAGGUGGAUCUGUACUCCUGAACUAGAGGCUGGGCUCUGCAUGGGUGACCUCUGUUCACUUCUGUUAGUGAACAGAUCACUUCUGUUAAUUAAUGAGUGAAUAUAUUCACUCAAACAGGCUUGGAUUCAAGUCCUAGUUCUCUCAC